GACGAACGCUGGCGGCGUGCUUAACACAUGCAAGUCGAACGGAAAGGCCCUGCUUUUGUGGGGUGCUCGAGUGGCGAACGGGUGAGUAACACGUGAGUAACCUGCCCUUGACUUUGGGAUAACUUCAGGAAACUGGGGCUAAUACCGGAUAGGAGCUCCUGCUGCAUGGUGGGGGUUGGAAAGUUUCGGCGGUUGGGGAUGGACUCGCGGCUUAUCAGCUUGUUGGUGGGGUAGUGGCUUACCAAGGCUUUGACGGGUAGCCGGCCUGAGAGGGUGACCGGCCACAUUGGGACUGAGAUACGGACCAGACUCCUACGUGAGGCAGUAGGGGGGAAUAUUGCACAAUGGGCGGAAGCCUGAUGCAGCAACGCCGCGUGCGGGAUGACGGCCUUCGGGUUGUAAACCGCUUUCGCCUGUGACGAAGCGUGAGUGACGGUAAUGGGUAAAGAAGCACCGGCUAACUACGUG
RNAcentral lists this ribosomal RNA (468 nucleotides) under uncultured bacterium. Its description in RNAcentral is "partial 16S ribosomal RNA". It matches the Rfam family "Bacterial small subunit ribosomal RNA", at positions 28 to 507 of the family's 1533-position model. The record is from RNAcentral.